GCCAAGCACAGUGGCACAUGCCUGUAGUCCCAGCUACUCAGGAGGCUGAGACUGGAGGAUCACUUCAGUCCAGGAGUUCUGGGCUGUAGUGCACUAUGCCGAUCAGGUGUCCACACUAAGUUCAGCUUUAAUUUGGUGACCUCCCGGGAGCAGGGGGCCACCAGGUUGCCUAAGGAGGGGUGAACCAGCCCAGGUGGGAAACAGAGCAGGUCAGAGCUCCCGUAUGAUCAGUAGUGGGAUCGCACCUGUGAAGAGCCACUGCACUCCAGCCUGGGCAACAUAGUGAGACCCUGUCUCUA
Otolemur garnettii (small-eared galago) is the source of this 299-nucleotide non-coding RNA. The record is from Rfam. Lineage: Eukaryota; Metazoa; Chordata; Mammalia; Primates; Galagidae.